CGCCCCUCCGCCAUGCUGCCACCUGCCUGCGGGUAACCAGGGGACGUACCUGGGCCAGGACAGCCUCAGGCUACAUGGCUCAUCCCAGGAAGAUCAAACGUUGGCCGUGAUGAAAUAUGGGACCUGGGUGGAGAUCCCUCCUCCAUUGUUUGUGGGGAAGAAGAGACACAGACACAGAGCAGGAGGCCACGUGGAGACGGAGGCAGAAACUGGAGUGAUGCGGCCACAAGCCCAGGGACGCCUGGAGCCCUCAGGACCUGGGAGAGGCAGGAAGGAUCCUCCCCUACAGCCUCUGGAGGAAACACCUCCCUGACACUCCUUGAUCUCAGACUCCUGGUUUCCAGGACUGCCGGAACAUUUCAGCCCCCGAUGGUGGCGAUUUCAGAAGAGACCUCAGGAAAUUAAUCCACUGCCAACAGCAUCCCUUUUCUUCCUGACCUCCUGCCUCCUUUCUUCCUGACACAUGCUCGUCCCUUGGUGCACAUUGGGAAGAAAUUCAGGAAUCUCGGGACACCAGGUGUCAAUGGGACAUAGCAAGAAUGAACUGUCUGGACCCAGGGAGGGAGGGAACAAAAAGAACAAAGGGACUAAAAUGGCGCAUUUCCGGGUUCUUCAUUGUUAACUUCCCCGCGCCCGGAAAGACACGGGUGGACUGCGCAGGCGCAACCCGACCUCCGACGGAGAAAAACCGGAACCCGCCUAGCCACGCCCACUGCCCCGCCCCCGCCCCGCCUACUGUCCCGCCCCCAACCCGCCUAUGUCCCGCCCACUCCCGGGCCCAGGACAUAAAAGCCGCUCCCGGUGGGGGCGCGGUGCCAACUUCCUCGGCCCCUGCUCAUUUGCCGAUCUAGGAACCUCGCCUGAGAACGCGGGAGCGACUUCAUCGGCCUCCACCCCCGGAGACCGGUGAACCUCGCCCCUCCUUCACAUUGGCUUGUAAAUAAAGUUUUCUUUUACUUUGCCUACUUGCCUGUUCUCUGGCAUUUACUCUGGUGGUCGUCUGGAGCAAAUCAUGAACCACAACCACCAAUGCCAACCGAGGCUGCAGACCUCCAGAGGUCUUCACUCACUCCUUGAGAGACUGCACCCAGCAGGGGCCGAAGGUAAUGCUCUCCUUGAUUAGAGCAAAAUAAACAAGAAAGGGCCGGGCGCGGU
Rhinopithecus roxellana (golden snub-nosed monkey) is the source of this 1155-nucleotide long non-coding RNA. RefSeq lists it as uncharacterized. The record is from RefSeq and is a predicted model, not a curated record. NCBI's taxonomy places the organism in Eukaryota, Metazoa, Chordata, Mammalia, Primates, Cercopithecidae. The transcript has 3 exons.